GAUGAACGCUGGCGGCGUGCUUAACACAUGCAGGUCGAACGGGAAUUACUUUAUUGAAACUUCGGUCGAUUUAAUUUAAUUCUAGUGGCGGACGGGUGAGUAACGCGUGGGUAACCUGCCUUAUACAGGGGGAUAACAGUCAGAAAUGGCUGCUAAUACCGCAUAAGCGCACAGAGCUGCAUGGCUCAGUGUGAAAAACUCCGGUGGUAUAAGAUGGACCCGCGUUGGAUUAGCUUGUUGGUGGGGUAACGGCCCACCAAGGCGACGAUCCAUAGCCGGCCUGAGAGGGUGAACGGCCACAUUGGGACUGAGACACGGCCCAGACUCCUACGGGAGGCAGCAGUGGGGAAUAUUGCACAAUGGGGGAAACCCUGAUGCAGCGACGCCGCGUGAAGGAAGAAGUAUCUCGGUAUGUAAACUUCUAUCAGCAGGGAAGA
RNAcentral lists this ribosomal RNA (437 nucleotides) under uncultured bacterium. RNAcentral describes it as "bacterial SSU rRNA". It matches the Rfam family "Bacterial small subunit ribosomal RNA", at positions 28 to 448 of the family's 1533-position model. The record is from RNAcentral.